This 29-nucleotide non-coding RNA is filed under the name Mus musculus (house mouse). Lineage: Eukaryota; Metazoa; Chordata; Mammalia; Rodentia; Muridae. The record is from RNAcentral.
UAAAAGAGAAAGAAAAAAACCCCACCCAG